AAAUCAAAAACUAGAACAAAGAGCAGCCAAAAUGAAACCAGAACAAAGAGAAAGCUUUUGGAAUGUCGGGGUAGGAAUGCGGAUCUGAGUCGCUUGGUGGAGUAGUUACGACAGGCGCAGCAUUUCACCCAGACAAGGGAGAAGGAGAAGAAAUGGAGGCGUGACAACGAGUAGUGGCAGGCACGAGCACUGGCAAGAAGGAGGAAGGCGAGACCACUGGCAGCACAACACAGGGGGCGGCGUGACGAUCCAAGAAGUGGCAGUAGUGAACCCGCAGAAGAAGAAGCUACACAGAGGAAGAAGAAGUUGUGGGCGACACGAAUGAGACAUGUGUAGGUUAAGCUGAGAAAAUAAAGUUGAGCUAGUACAUUGGUUAUAGACUAACCCGAGGUAAUAUCUUAAUAUGGCACCGGUUAAAAGCAGAACUCGAUGCCUUAGGUCUGGUGUAGCAAGCAAAGUGCAGGCAACGUAGCAGGUGUAGCAGGUGGAGCAGAGGUAUAGGCAUCGGUUGCCCAGCUACCCGAUGCAAUAAGCCAACGUAUAGGGACCGG
This 551-nucleotide long non-coding RNA is filed under the name Vigna radiata. RNAcentral's name for it is "long non-coding RNA (VRAD_LNC013383)". The record is from RNAcentral. Lineage: Eukaryota; Viridiplantae; Streptophyta; Magnoliopsida; Fabales; Fabaceae.